CAUAUUCCACUCAGCAGUUUUCAGUGACAUAGUGCAAUAGGUUUUAGAGGACCAGAAGAAACUGAAUUCAUUAACCCACAAGGCGAGGGGACCCACUGCUUAACUACCACCCCCUCCUUCAGCCUCGACACCCCCCCCUCUGUGCUACAUGCUCUCUUAUAUAAACACAAAAAACAUAUAAAAUUAUUUCAUGUUACGAGUUAUAUGUUUCUGGUUGCCAUUGAUUUUGUGAUAUAGGUUUUUAUUAUUAUUAUUAUAUAUGUUGCCUACCGCAGAUUAUAAGGUUUAAUUUAAUGUACAUAAUGAUAUAAAUUUACUCUUAUUUCAAGCUAUUAUAAAUGCUGUUAGCUAUACGAAUCAGCAUUAGGUGAAGUAGAUACAUACAUACAUACAUACAUACAUACAUACAUACAUACAUACAUACAUACAUACAUGCAUACAUACAAAAAAUAGUAAUAAAACAGACAACUUUAUCAAAUAUUUUCCCCAUAAAUAAAGUUACAAUUUAAGCCUCACACACACACACACACACACACACACACACACACACACACACACACACACACACACACACACACAUAUAUAUCUUGCUUACCGGUACAUUAACACAUUAACGAGAAAUCUUUUAACUAACAGAUCAAAACUGGACCAACAGUGAAGCUCAAAUACAGGUUACAUAAUUAUAACAUAUAAGUUGGAAUUAUCAGAUAAGACAACAACAGGAGCAGGAGCAUCAUGAGUGACUGUCUAUGAGAAAAUAACACAAGGUUGGUGGAAAUUUUCGUGGUGGUAUUACUCGCUGGUAUUGUCUCCACCUCCACCAGUGUUUGUGUCGCCAGGGUCAAAUAUUAUCCCUUAGAACGGUGUAAAAGGACUUGUAGUUACCUAUGGACUUAAAACUAACACCAACAGUCUGGAGGAUAUAUUGUAGACUACAUCAAGGUCUUGUGAAUAAAAUAUGGCAAGGAGGGAAGGAUAUAUUGUUCAGAUCAGCCAUGGUUACUUUAUGUUGUAUACAGCUGUAGUUGAUGGUUGAAACACUGUGAUGUCAAGAAAUAAAUAAGAGGAUUCAUUAUAUAAACAUUUACUUAGAACAAUACUAAUCGAUAAUCAAAAAGCAAUAUACAGUCACUUCAAUAAAAACUAUCUGUACUUUGGGUGAUCGAUGAAUUCCAGAAUGAACACUAUGACUCCUGUUGUCUCGGUAGGGUUGUCAAAAUCCUUCGUUCAUUGUGUCAUAUUUUUUCAACACAAUUUUGUAUAGAUAUUUUUUUUUUAAGUGACUGUACAGCUGAACUUAGUUACUUCAUUAUGACGGCCAAAAGUAUGUCCUCACACAUAAGACAUACAAAAAAAUCAUCUCACUGAAUGUUACUUGAAAACUUAACAAGAAAAAAAUGGUAUAAUAUUAAUAAUUACGGUAAGGAAUACAAGGUGAAUGUCAUAGAUAACGAAGGUAAAUCACCCAAUCACCAUCCGUCUUAAAUCUGUAUAAUAACAUCUUGUCUCUUUGGAUAUAAAUAAGUUGACCAUUAUUA
This is a long non-coding RNA of Homarus americanus (American lobster), 1538 nucleotides long. RefSeq lists it as uncharacterized. The transcript has 2 exons. NCBI's taxonomy places the organism in Eukaryota, Metazoa, Arthropoda, Malacostraca, Decapoda, Nephropidae. The record is from RefSeq and is a predicted model, not a curated record.